CCUACGGGAGGCAGCAGUGGGGAAUAUUGCACAAUGGGGGAAACCCUGAUGCAGCGACGCCGCGUGAGUGAAGAAGUAUUUCGGUACGUAAAGCUCUAUCAGCAGGGAAGAAAAAAAGUCUUUUGGACUUUGGACGGUACCUGACCAAGAAGCCCGGGCUAACGACGUGCCAGCAGCCGCGGUCUUACGUAGGGGGCAAGCGUGAUCCGGCGUUACUGGGUGGUAAGGGAGCGUAGACGGCAGCGCAUGUCUGGAGUGAAAUGCCGGGGCUCAACCCCGGAACUGCUUUGGAAACUGUGCAGCUGGAGUGCAGGAGAGGUAAGCGGAAUUCCUAGUGUAGCGGUGAAAUGCGUAGAUAUUAGGAGGAACACCAGUGGCGAAGGCGGCUUACUGGACUGUAACUGACGUUGAGGCUCGAAAGCGUGGGGAGCAAACAGGAUUAGAUACCCGAGUAGUC
This 457-nucleotide ribosomal RNA is filed under the name uncultured bacterium. Its description in RNAcentral is "partial 16S ribosomal RNA". It matches the Rfam family "Bacterial small subunit ribosomal RNA", at positions 338 to 795 of the family's 1533-position model. The record is from RNAcentral.